CCAAUGGCAGAGUUAUAAAUAUACUCAUUAUUCAAGGAUACUAUGGUCAUUAUACAUAAUUGAUUUUUAAGCAAACCACAUGUGCCUCUUCCAUAUUCUUCCGGAACGUUCUUCCUCUUUCCUCAUUUUUGCAUAUUAUUAAGAGAUUAGGAAUCAAGCAAAUGAAAAUUGCUAGGAUCUUCUCAAACCCGUUCUUCUUCUUUUUACUCAAACCGGAAAAAGUAGACGCAAGUCUCUGCUAUUUUCAUCUUUUUAGCAGGCUAUCGCCAUUUUUAGGAGGUCGAUGUUUCCUCUAAAUAAGCGGCUCGUAUUGUUAUUCUUCAUUCUAGAAUUAACUGGACAAGUAUUUUUGGUUGCCAACUCUUUGUUGUUGGUCUUGACUGCACAAAUUCGACUUAUGUUGCUGCUUUGCAACCUGGAACAAUAUCAGUCUUUACGUUCAUACUUGCUUUACUCAUGGGGUCAGUAAACAUUCAAUUCCUUUCAUCUCUCGAUUUUGUAUCCUUGUUCCCAUCACUCUUAUAUCUUGCAUGACAUGUGAGUUCGAGUGAAUCUUUUGUUGCUAAACUUUGUGAGAUGUGAAAGAUCAAGUUCUAUCAAGUAUCAAAUGUUGUAUUUUAAUACCAAAAAUGUUGUGCUUUGAAUUGGAGCAACCACAAGUACUUUAUUUUUGUGCAAAGAAUGAGAGUCAUUGCAAUCAAUUUGAGGAUGUAUAUCCUUCAAAUUGAUACAAUAUGACCUGAGAUAAGUCACUAUUUUUUGGUGAAAUGGACCUUCUAAGGUACAAAAUUGCAAACUCACUUCUGGAACAAAUUAAAUCCGAGAUGGAGGAGGUAAUUCAUCUAAUUCCAAAAAAAUGUUAGCUCAUACUAUUUCAAUUUGGCUUCCUUUUUAUUGAAAAGUAAAAUUAUAUUGAUAUCCCAAUGACCUCCCAGCUAGAUUAAGGACCAACUAACUACAAAAUUCUCAACCCAAUCUCCAUCCAUCAACACCUAGGGAUGUGAGGUGGCAGAAUGGGAUGGUAGAGCAGGGUGGGGUGAGGUAAAACUUAGGGGGCAGAGAAAUAUCUAAGAAAACAUCAUAUGAACCAAAACCAAACUUCUCAACAUAAUACAAAACAUUGUAUGAACGUACUGGAAGUCUCAAAUGAAGGAAUGGGGUGCUAAUACUUAAAACGAGGGGUUGGGUUGUUACAUAUAGUUUCUCUUAUGAAGAGCUUUAGUUUUUUCUGCUUC
Molecule: long non-coding RNA, 1235 nt
Organism: Solanum tuberosum (potato)
Lineage: Eukaryota; Viridiplantae; Streptophyta; Magnoliopsida; Solanales; Solanaceae
Exons: 3
Source: RefSeq, a predicted model, not a curated record